Molecule: ribosomal RNA, 254 nt
Filed under: uncultured bacterium
Lineage: Bacteria
Description: partial 16S ribosomal RNA
Rfam family: Bacterial small subunit ribosomal RNA
Source: RNAcentral
CACGUAGGGUGCGAGCGUUGUCCGGAAUUAUUGGGCGUAAAGAGCUCGUAGGCGGUGUGUCGCGUCGGCCGUGAAAACCUGGGGCUUAACUCUGGGCUUGCGGUCGAUACGGGCAUCACUGGAGUUCGGCAGGGGAGACUGGAAUUCCUGGUGUAGCGGUGAAAUGCGCAGAUAUCAGGAGGAACACCGGUGGCGAAGGCGGGUCUCUGGGCCGAUACUGACGUUGAGGAGCGAAAGCGUGGGGAGCGAACAGG